Molecule: long non-coding RNA, 258 nt
Filed under: Elaeis guineensis (African oil palm)
Lineage: Eukaryota; Viridiplantae; Streptophyta; Magnoliopsida; Arecales; Arecaceae
Description: long non-coding RNA (EGUI_LNC004832)
Source: RNAcentral
CAGCUUAGUUCAAUCGUCAAUUACAGCACUUCUUCGGUCCUGUCGAUGCUGGGCUGGUCGAGACUCUCCACCAAUGUCCGACCCAGGGGGUCGUAGGCUGAUGUCGCAAGCCUGGAGAGUGCAUCAGCCCAAGCGUUCUCCAUCUUAGGAAUGUGGGAGAUCUCAAAAUACUUGAGGUGUGUCACGAGAUCUCUCAGCUUCUGGAGAUAUUUUGCCAUGGUCGGAUCUCACGCUUCAAAGUCACCUUUAACUUGCCCC